UGGGGAAUAUUGGACAAUGGGCGAAAGCCUGAUCCAGCCAUGCCGCGUGUGUGAAGAAGGUCUUCGGAUUGUAAAGCACUUUAAGUUGGGAGGAAGGGCAUUAACCUAAUACGUUAGUGUUUUGACGUUACCGACAGAAUAAGCACCGGCUAACUCUGUGCCAGCAGCCGCGGUAAUACAGAGGGUGCAAGCGUUAAUCGGAAUUACUGGGCGUAAAGCGCGCGUAGGUGGUUUGUUAAGUUGGAUGUGAAAUCCCCGGGCUCAAUCUGGGAACUGCAUUCAAAACUGACAGACUAGAGUAUGGUAGAGGGUGGUGGAAUUUCCUGUGUAGCGGUGAAAUGCGUAGAUAUAGGAAGGA
RNAcentral lists this ribosomal RNA (358 nucleotides) under uncultured bacterium. RNAcentral describes it as "partial 16S ribosomal RNA". It matches the Rfam family "Bacterial small subunit ribosomal RNA", at positions 355 to 705 of the family's 1533-position model. The record is from RNAcentral.